This 72-nucleotide transfer RNA is filed under the name Nanoarchaeales archaeon. RNAcentral's name for it is "tRNA-Gly". It matches the Rfam family "tRNA". Rfam says of the family: Transfer RNA (tRNA) molecules are approximately 80 nucleotides in length. The record is from RNAcentral. Lineage: Archaea; Nanobdellati; Nanobdellota; Candidatus Nanoarchaeia; Nanoarchaeales.
GCAUGUAUAGUUUAGUGGUUAUGACGUGACCUUGCCAAGGUUGCAACCUGGGUUCAAGUCCCAGUACGUGCA